UACAGAGGGGGCAAGCGUUAUUCGGAAUUAUUGGGCAUAAAGGGCGCGUAGGCGGCUUGGCAAGUGGAAGGUGAAAUCCCUCGGCUUAACCGAGGAACUGCCCUCCAAACUGCUUCGCUUGAGACCGGGAGAGGUGAGUGGAAUUCCCAGUGUAGCGGUGAAAUGCGUAGAUAUUGGGAGGAACACCAGUGGCGAAGGCGGCUCACUGGACCGGUACUGACGCUGAGGAGCGAAAGCGUGGGGAGCGAACAGG
RNAcentral lists this ribosomal RNA (253 nucleotides) under uncultured bacterium. RNAcentral describes it as "partial 16S ribosomal RNA". It matches the Rfam family "Bacterial small subunit ribosomal RNA", at positions 524 to 776 of the family's 1533-position model. The record is from RNAcentral.